RNAcentral lists this ribosomal RNA (419 nucleotides) under uncultured eukaryote. Its description in RNAcentral is "SSU rRNA". It matches the Rfam family "Eukaryotic small subunit ribosomal RNA", at positions 592 to 1018 of the family's 1831-position model. The record is from RNAcentral.
CAAUAGCGUAUAUUAAAGUUGUUGCAGUUAAAAAGCUCGUAGUUGGAGUUCAGAGUGAGCUCAGCUGGUCGGCCUAAUGGGUCAGAACUGGUUGACUCUCUCUUGUUUGUGGGUCUCGCCCGGAGUUAACUCUUCGGAUGUGGAUCCCACAUCGUUUACCUUGAAAAAAUUAGAGUGUUCAAAGCAGGCGUUUGCUUGAAUAUAUUAGCAUGGAAUAAUGGAAUAGGACGCUGGUUCUAUUUUGUUGGUUUUGAGAACCAGAGUAAUGAUUAAUAGGGACAGUUGGGGGCAUUCAUAUUCCAAUGUCAGAGGUGAAAUUCUUGGAUUAUCGGAAGAUGAACUUCUGCGAAAGCAUCUGCCAAGGAUGUUUUCAUUGAUCAAGAACGAAAGUUAGGGGAUCGAAGACGAUCAGAUACCAU